UAUAUAAUAUAUUGACGUAUUUUUUUAAUUCAUUUUAGUAGAAAAUAGUCCCUUUCUGCGUCACGACGCCUCAGUAAUGAGGAACACGUUCCUCGUCACU
This is a long non-coding RNA of Melitaea cinxia (Glanville fritillary), 100 nucleotides long. RefSeq lists it as uncharacterized. The record is from RefSeq and is a predicted model, not a curated record. The transcript is spliced from 3 exons. Lineage: Eukaryota; Metazoa; Arthropoda; Insecta; Lepidoptera; Nymphalidae.